CGGUGAAAUGCAUAGAUAUUACUUAGAAUACCAAUUGCGAAGGCAGAUCACUAAUAAUAUAUUGACGCUGAGGGACGAAAGCGUGGGGAGCGAACAGGAUUAGAUACCCUGGUAGUCCACGCCGUAAACGAUGGAUACUAGCUGUUCGGAUUUAUCUGAGUGGCUAAGCGAAAGUGAUAAGUAUCCCACCUGGGGAGUACGUUCGCAAGAAUGAAACUCAAAGGAAUUGACGGGGGCCCGCACAAGCGGUGGAGCAUGUGGUUUAAUUCGAUGA
Molecule: ribosomal RNA, 274 nt
Filed under: uncultured Bacteroidota bacterium
Lineage: Bacteria; Pseudomonadati; Bacteroidota
Description: uncultured Bacteroidetes bacterium partial 16S ribosomal RNA
Rfam family: Bacterial small subunit ribosomal RNA
Source: RNAcentral